This 400-nucleotide ribosomal RNA is filed under the name uncultured bacterium. Its description in RNAcentral is "partial 16S ribosomal RNA". It matches the Rfam family "Archaeal small subunit ribosomal RNA", at positions 473 to 873 of the family's 1478-position model. The record is from RNAcentral.
AUACCAGCACCCCGAGUUGUCGGGACGAUUAUUGGGCCUAAAGCAUCCGUAGCCUGUUCUGCAAGUCCUCCGUUAAAUCCACCUGCUCAACGGAUGGGCUGCGGAGGAUACCGCAGAGCUAGGAGGCGGGAGAGGCAAACGGUACUCAGUGGGUAGGGGUAAAAUCCAUUGAUCUACUGAAGACCACCAGUGGUGAAGGCGGUGUGCCAGAACGCGCUUGACGGUGAGGGAUGAAAGCUGGGGGAGCAAACCGGAUUAGAUACCCGGGUAGUCCCAGCUGUAAACGAUGCAGACUCGGUGAUGGGUUGGCUUCGAGCCAACCCAGUGCCGCAGGGAAGCCGUUAAGUCUGCCGCCUGGGGAGUACGGUCGCAAGACUGAAACUUAAAGGAAUUGGCGGGG